AGACGUCUACAUUAGAUACCCCGGUAGUCCCAGCCGUAAACUAUGCGCGUUAGGUGUAUCGGUGACCACGAGUUACCGAGGUGCCGAAGGGAAACCGUGAAACGUGCCGCCUGGGAAGUACGGUCGCAAGGCUGAAACUUAAAGGAAUUGGCGGGGGAGCACAACGACGGGUGGAGCCUGCGGUUUAAUUGGACUCAACGCCGGACAACUCACCGGGGACGACAGCAAUAUGUAGGCCAGGCUGAAGACCUUGCCUGAAUCGCUG
This 265-nucleotide ribosomal RNA is filed under the name uncultured archaeon. RNAcentral's name for it is "partial 16S ribosomal RNA". It matches the Rfam family "Archaeal small subunit ribosomal RNA", at positions 717 to 982 of the family's 1478-position model. The record is from RNAcentral.